This 219-nucleotide unclassified non-coding RNA is filed under the name soil metagenome. RNAcentral's name for it is "partial contains 5.8S ribosomal RNA, internal transcribed spacer 2, and large subunit ribosomal RNA". The record is from RNAcentral.
AAGACUAUAGACCUGCGGAGUACCUGCGGAGGGAUCAUUACAGGACUCGCAAGACUCCUACAACCCUGUGAACCUACUAUACGAACGUUGCUUCGGCGGGUGCGCCCCGGGGAUUCGUUCCCGCGGCGCGUCAGCCCGCCGGCAGCCUACAAAUUCUGUUUCUUUGCGUUGGCAUCUCGAGAAAAACAAAUAAGUUAAAACUUUUAACAAUGGAUCUCU